Long non-coding RNA from Formica exsecta, 617 nucleotides. RefSeq lists it as uncharacterized. NCBI's taxonomy places the organism in Eukaryota, Metazoa, Arthropoda, Insecta, Hymenoptera, Formicidae. The record is from RefSeq and is a predicted model, not a curated record. The transcript is spliced from 2 exons.
UCGAUAGAAUCAUAUCUAGACUUACUGAUUCUAAAUUUAUUUUCCUUAAGAGGUUUCAAUCCGCGUUCCUCUUGUGUCCUACAGUCCACUGACGAAGAUAUGACGCUCCAUCGACAAUCAACAUCGCUUAUGUAACCGCGAUAAAACGGACUGGCUGCAGUUAAAGCCAACUGUCGAAUGUUAAAGAAAUGUUCUGUAACGUAUGCAUGAAAAAAACACUCUGACAGUAUGUUAUUGUUAUAUAAAAAAAAUAAAAAAAUUGUUAAUAAUAUUAUUUAACACUAACCAUGAUUGGACAUAAAGGUGUCAGUUGAUCAUAUAAUGUUCUUGCUUCUUGUAUGUUGCAUGCUUGAAAAGUGAGUUGUAAACAACAACAUCCCAUCCCAAAACCCAUUGCAUCCAUGUAGAUGUGAUUAUCUUUAGAUGCCUUAGAGGAGGAUCCAUCAUCUCCUUUGUUGUUAAUGUCUUGAAACGUGGAUGACCAGGAUAUAUAGCUUCAUCAGGAAAAAAUAAGCUCUUGGAGGCACCAGUAUUGAAUGUUGGAUAAGUAGGAGGAUCAGUAAAGUCAGGAGCUCCUAUUCUGUAAUAGAAAUAAUAAAAUGUAUAAAAUGUCAAAA